GCUUACGGCCAUACCACGUUGAAAGCACGCCGUCCCGUCUGAUCUAGCAAGUUAAGCAACGUUGGGCCUGGUUAGUACUUGGAUCGGAGACGGNGCUCAGAUAAAUGGCAUAUUGACAUCU
This 121-nucleotide ribosomal RNA is filed under the name Angiostrongylus costaricensis. Lineage: Eukaryota; Metazoa; Nematoda; Chromadorea; Rhabditida; Metastrongylidae. The record is from RNAcentral.